This 441-nucleotide ribosomal RNA is filed under the name Blastocystis sp. RNAcentral describes it as "partial small subunit ribosomal RNA". It matches the Rfam family "Bacterial small subunit ribosomal RNA", at positions 760 to 1210 of the family's 1533-position model. Lineage: Eukaryota; Bigyra; Opalinata; Blastocystidae. The record is from RNAcentral.
UAUGGGUAGCAAACAGGAUUAGGUACCCUGGUAGUCCAUACUAUAAACAAUGAAUAUUAAAUAUUAAUAAAUAUUUUCAUUUAAUAUAAAAAGUUAACACGUUAAAUAUUUCGCCUGGGGAGUAAAACCGCAAGGUUGAAACUCAAAGGAAUUGACGGGAGCUUAUACGUACGGUGGAGCAUGUGGUUUAAUCCGAUAGUCCGCGUGGAAUCUUACCAAUUUUUGACAGUUUAUAAUUUUUUUUAUUAUAAAACAGGUGUUGCAUGGUCGUCGUCAGCUUUUAUUUUGAAGUUAAGAUAUAAGUUUAACCCUUGCUUUAAGUUGCUAUUAUUUAAAAGUAUUAAAGGAUUUUUAAUCAUUAAAUAAGUACUCUUAAAUUUGAAUAUAAUUUAUAAAAAAUAUGCAAAGGAUGAAGAUAGAUCGUUAUGACCCUUAUAAAUU